GUCGAGCGCAGUCCUUCGGGACCGAGCGGCGGACGGGUUAGUAACGCGUGGGAAUAUACCCAGAUCUAAGGAAUAGCCUCGGGAAACUGAGAGUAAUACCUUAUACGCCCUUCGGGGGAAAGAUUUAUCGGAUUUGGAUUAGCCCGCGUUAGAUUAGAUAGUUGGUGGGGUAAUGGCCUACCAAGUCUACGAUCUAUAGCUGGUUUUAGAGGAUGAUCAGCAACACUGGGACUGAGACACGGCCCAGACUCCUACGGGAGGCAGCAGUGGGGAAUCUUAGACAAUGGGCGAAAGCCUGAUCUAGCCAUGCCGCGUGUGUGAUGAAGGCCCUAGGGUCGUAAAGCACUUUCGCCAGAGAUGAUAAUGACAGUAUCUGGUAAAGAAACCCCGGCUAACUCCGUGCCAGCAGCCGCGGUAAUACGGAGGGGGUUAGCGUUGUUCGGAAUUACUGGGCGUAAAGCGUACGUAGGCGGAUUAGUAAGUUAGGGGUGAAAUCCCGAGGCUCAACCUCGGAACUGCCUCUAAAACUGCUAGUCUUGAGUUCGAGAGAGGUGAGUGGAAUUCCGAGUGUAGAGGUGAAAUUCGUAGAUAUUCGGAGGAACACCAGUGGCGAAGGCGGCU
Molecule: ribosomal RNA, 621 nt
Filed under: uncultured bacterium
Lineage: Bacteria
Description: bacterial SSU rRNA
Rfam family: Bacterial small subunit ribosomal RNA
Source: RNAcentral